AAAGUACAUCAAGAAGCUUCUAAUUGCAAUAGAAGGGUCCAGGUCAGAAUUUGCAGGUAGUUAGUCGCUUUCUCUGUAGGAAAAGACCUUAGGCUGUACAACAACUCCGCUAUUCUCCCUUUCAAGUAGGAGUUCAACGGAGCUUUAUUUAAAGAACAUUAACCACCACUUCGACUGAUGCGGACGCGGUUCUCUCGUCGUGAAAGAAGUAAUGAAAGGGAAGCCCGGGGUCAAAGCGCGUUCGUUGUUGCCUGUAUAGCUUUCUAGAGCAGAGAUCUAGCAACGCAUUCUAGGCACAGAUCAUUGGUAUUGGAUGUAUCGUUAGGUUGUGCCGAGUCAAAUCUGCUCCGUUUUUUUUCCGUUGCAGAAAAGAGAUCCCUUCCCCUCGCUUUCAAAAAUGAUGAAUAUGAAGUCCGGGAGGCUGCAGGUACUAUGGAUCCUCUGACACCCAAUCGGGUUGCCUUCCCAGGUCUCGCCGGUGUUGCCUCUAGGUCGUGAUGUGCCUUGAACGCGGUUCUCUCGUCGAGAUGAGAUCUACUCAUUGAUUUUAUAUUAGAUGAGCGGCCGUACUAUGAUUGUUCGGGAGACAUGGGCCCAUGCGCUACACACAAGAAUGAAUUGUUAAGCGGUCGGUAAACUCUUUCCUUUAUGCGGGAAACCUAUCAAAUCGAAUCACGUAUUUUUGGAUAUGUCAUUACAUCAUGUACAUGUAUUCGAUUUUCCAUUUUUUAUUAUGUUCCUGCUCGUGCCCGGAUAGAGAAUGGGCACGACUCCCCCUCUCCCCGUUCUACCGUCCAAACAGGCCGGCCGUUCUAAGUUCCGGGGUUGGGUCGGAUAGGACCAGAUCCAAUCGGAUCUGAUCGUAGCUUCGAGUUCAGGUGCCGUACUGCGGCCGGACCGGAAAGGAGGGGGACAGCGAACCUCCUGCCAAGAGGCCAAGGUUGCUUGCUAACUCUCAGCCACUUGUUAGAAGGGAUUUAGUAAAGGGAUAAUGCCGCUUUUUACUAAAAGAGUCCCGAGUUAUUUAGAGUUAGAAGCUUCACAGCUUCCUCCACUCACCUCCACGGGCGAAUAUAGUCUACUAGACUCUUUCUUGGCUAGUCUAGUAGACUAUAUUCUAGGUCAUUCGGAAGGGCUCCGUAUAGUUUUGGGGUGUAACGUUGUGGUUGUUCCCUCUCCUUUCAGUCGAGUGACUUCGUACCUAUCCUUACCGAGAAAAACGAGUUCCAGAGGCAUCUUCCAUUCAUAUCGAUUUGGGUUUGACUGCACAAUCUUGCGCUAUGGAAGGUUCUAAAAGGUUCAGGAGUGAUCUAGGAGUUGGUGGAAGCUCCAUGGAAGCACAAAGGAGUGGUGGCAUCUUAGAAGACUCUAGAGAGUCCUAGGAAGCUGCCUAGGUCAGCCAAAGGGGCUGCCAUACAAGCUACAAGAAGCUAGCAUUCUAUAGAAGGUUCUAGAAUGGCCUAGCGUGGCCUUGCCCUUGGGCAAUAUGGGCUGCCCAAUGCCCUUUUCAUGCAUUCAUCCCUAUUUCUUUCCACUAGCCAACCCCAAUAGUUAUUACAAAUUAUUAUAGACCCAAAUGAUCAGAAAAGAAAAGUAAAAUUACACCAGAAGUUCCAGCUACAUCCAAACAGCCUAAUUCAGACUCAAAUUAUAACAAUAUGAGAUAAGCCAAUUUCCAGGAUCAGCUUUCCAAAAGCCUUUCUCAUAUUUGGGAUAUGUCAAAGUUCCCAAGUGUCUUAAAAGGCUUCAGGCGGUGCUUAUACCCCAAAAACAUUGUGGAAUUAAGAUCAUAGUGCAGUGGAAAUGACAGCCCUCAGAUGUCCAAGUUCAGAGGGAGCUCAAGGUCCCAAAGCAAGGUUCAUGAGAGAGGGGCAAAAUAUAAGAGUCUAAGAAUAAGCUUAAGUGCAUAGAGAUGGAAUUAGGGAGAGGCCCUGGCAGGCUGGUGGGCAUGCCCAACAAUUGAGAAUUUUGCACACCCCUGACCAGCCUGUUAGCCAAACUUAGGAGUUAGGAUCCACUGUGGAUUAGGUUAUGGCCUGGGCAAUAAUUAGGAUACUGCCAGGCCAAGAACCUUAAUUCAAACACAUAGAAGAGAAAAGGGGUAGUGAUUCACAAUAGAAACAGAUGCGAGGAAAGAACAUACGUAACAUAUAUCAUUGAACAUGAGCAAUAGAGUAUACAAGAAAGCUGAACUACAAAGUAAAAACAUAGAGGUGAAGCAGAAAACUAAAUAAAAUACAUACAUAUUUCAAGGGAAAACAAGUAAAAUAGUUUUUUUGAAAUGCCAAUUUAUAAGCAAAGAGUUCCAAAAGAUCUCAGAAAAGCGGGGUGUUGAGAGAGUAUUGAACUCAAGGCAGUAACGUGAAUGUAAGAGUUGGAAGUAGGAAGUUCUAGGUAUUGAACUUGAAGUGUGGAUGUGAAAGAAUCAAAUUGGAAGUGUGUCAAAGGUGCAGAAGGGCUGUCCCUUUUAUAGUGUAGAGGAACAAGUAAGAAAGGCAAUGAAAUAUCAUUGAAAUAAGUCUCCCGUUGGUUAAGGGAGUCUCAUUCCAACUGGUGAAAAUUAGUUAUGGAAAGAAAUUUCUAAUUAAAACCUUUCAAAGCAGUAUAAAAGGGGUAAAACAACAGAACUUAUUUAAGGAAUGGAAUCAAUAGUACAUGAUUUGUGCCAAAUAUUGUAAGGGAAUCAAAUAAAAAACCACGAAAAUAAAAUUACAAGUUCUAUUUUAAAAAACCAAGUCAAGAAAGGUAAGGAGUUUCAAUUGAAGAAAAUAAGUGACAAAUCAUUAGCCUUGUUAAAGGGAUUUCGGAAUCAAUCAGUUUGUCAGUGAAAACCUUUUGGAAGAGGAAUUUUCUCAUAUAUAAAGCACACAACUCAAAUAAAAAGAGGCGUUAGGUUGCUAUAGAAAAAGAAUUUUGCACCGAAAGUGUCAAAGUCACAAGAAGAAGAGAUUCAAGUUCAAUUACAGACUCAUAGUGAAUCCUAGUACCAUUUGUCAAAAAAAACCCCAAAACCUAGGGUAUCUGAUAGAGUCAGACAAAGAGGUGGGAAAACAAGGUCAUUGAAAGAGGCUAAGAAGACUGUUUCAAAGACUUAUGACAGACAAGCAUACAUAAUAAAAGAACACUAAUUCAAGGUCAUGAGACCAUGUUCGAGAAAAAGUCAGAAUUAAAACAAGUUUCCGAAAAAAGAGAUGAUACGACAGUAGAGUAAAAUAUGCUUAGCAGGAACACAAACAAAGAUAAGUAAAGUGAACAAAAUCAAAGAACUCAACCGUAAACACAUUAAACAAAGAGUAAGGAAAGCAUCACAAAUUGAUAUACGAGCAUAAUGGUAAUAGAAAAGGAUAGAAGAGUCUUGCAUAAUAGAAAAGAAACAAGAGAGAAAACUCAUUCAUAAUAAGAAGCAAACAUACGAGCACAAAACACACAUAAAGAAAGAAUAUGAAGAAUCAAAAAAUAUUUGAAGAAAUCCUUUUUCAGAAACCCUAAAAUUUAAAUUGAACGACUUUAUAGAGGAAAUUUAGGGAAAACCUUUAAAAUAUAAUGUAAACCUCAGGCAUGGCACAAAUCUAAGAGAAAUAAGCAGUAGAGAACUUCAGAUGGCUUAGAGUUGUAGAGAAAACUCUAGAAUGAAAAUGGUCUUAAGGAAAGUCGGAUCCUUAGUCGAAAAGACUCAAAUUUCUUGAACUCACAGGGGUAAUGGCCGGAGAGGCCAUAGAUCUAUAUAUAUGAGAAGGAUCUAAGGAGAACCAUCAGAGUUGGGCUUCAAAUCAUCGAACAACUUAGGUCUAAUGGUGAGAGAGGCUGAGCAUAAGUCAUUCAUGGCCUGGAAAGCCAUGGAAUCCUGUGGAAUCGUGGUAGAACGAGGUGGGAGACGACUAGGGCUUCAGAGAGGCUAGAGGGAGUUUGAGAGACGAAGUGAGUUCAAAGGCGGCGUCUCUGAUAGAAUGAGUUAGGUUUGAGGGGUGUCUGAGAAUUAAAAAGGAAAUGGGGAAAAAGCCGUUGAUCGAAAUGAUCAACGGCUAGGAUCAAAGGGGAUCCAUGUGGGUUUUAAAUUGGGUCGUGAGUUGGAUUAAAAUUGGAAUUGGGCUGGUCUUGAUUUGGGGUGGAAUUGAGGUCAAACUAAGGCUAAAUUUUAAAAGAAAUAAGAAUGUAAUUGAAAUAGAAACGGGUUCUGCGUUAAAAAGUCAUUUUUCCCUUUUAUUUUUAUAACAUAGUAAUAAUGAUUUUCAAAGUGAAUUAAAAAUGCUGAUCCAACAACUAUUAUAUAAAUAUUAAUCUAAAAAAACUGAAAAUAAUUUUAUAAUUGUAAAAUGCUUUUAAUCGUAGAAUAGGCUAUAAUUGUAAUAAUAUGCAAAUUAGCUUAAAAAUACAAAAUACAUUUGUAAAAAUAUAAAUAAAUCACCUUAAAUAUAUUUUGGUGUUAAUAUGAGAAUAGAAAUAAAUUAUUUACCAAAAUAUUAAUUUUGGGAACAAUUAUUGGAUGUUGCACUCAUAAAAUAGAAAAUAAAUUAAUUGUAAAAUCUUUAAAAAUUAGGGAUAAUACAAAACUCUUGGGAAUGCUUAUAUAUGCAUGUACAUGCUAUUUUAAAAUUAGUUUGUAUAUAAAAAUACAUAGGAAAAAACUGGGUAUCAACAGCUGCCCUCUUUACCCGGGAAAGAAAAAGAGUUGUUGGGUAAAGAUAUGAUGGCCAAUUUUGAUCGAACGAAACCAUUUGAAUAAUUUUGACCGAGCUCUGUUUCCUGAGCUACAAACAUAUCCCUGGUCUUACAAUAAUCAUUCCAUAUGUAGUUCAGGGUCCAUUGGCGGACUAUGCCGAUGGAGAUUUCGAAAAACGAACAGGAUGUUCAGGUUGAGUAAGAUGGUCAGAGUCUGAUAGGUUGUGGGCACUGGAGUGGGAUCGCUCCUUCUGAGACAGUCAUUGCUCGCUGGUGUACCUGUAAACGAAUAAUACCAACAUAUAAUGUGCAGAAAUUUAAACGUGAUACAAGUUCCCAUUGGACCAUGAAUGUUGUCUUUGGAUGGUUAGGAUGACGUCCUCUGACCAUGACGUCCUGGGCAAUGAAGCGUAUAAUAUGGAUUUGCAUUCCAUGAAAUGAUGUUCUCGGGCUACUAGAAUGAUGCAUCCGAACUAUGAUGCCUUUGAAUAAUGAUAUGCAAAAUAUAAAAUGAGGUCCUCAGGCCAUGGUAUGGCAUUCUCGGGCUAUAAAAUUGGUGCCUCCGAAGAAUGACGCCUUUGGACAAUUUUGCAAUCUUUCUGCCCAUAAAAUACAGAAAAAGGCAAUCUUUCAACAAAUUCAAGACAUAAAUGAAAGGUGGUGGUAUUUCAACCAUACAAGAUAAAUAAAGUUGCGAUAUUUCAGCAAUGCAAGAUUUAAAUAAAUGUGGCGAUAUUUCAACCGAUGUGGAAUUUAAAUAAAGGUGGCGUUUAUUUCAGCCAAUGCUGAAUUUAAAUAAAGGCGAGGGUACUUCAGCCAUGCAGAUGGAGGUAGAUCUUAUCAUCGGAAGGCAGAAUGGUAGCCUUAUGCAAUGUAAAAAAUGCAGAUGGAGACAGAACUUAGUCUCGGAAGGCAAAUAGGUAGCCUUAUGUAAUGCAAAAUAAAAUGCAGAUGGAGGCCGAGCUUAACCUCAGAAGGCAGAAAGAUAGCCUUAUGCAAUGUAGAAAAAUAAAGAUGGAGGUAUAGCUUAACCUCAAAAGACAGAAAGGUAGCCUUAUGCAAUGUAGAAAAUGCAGAUGGAGGUAGAGCUUAACUUUGGAAGGCAGAAUGGUAGCCUUAUGCAAUGAAGAGAAAUGCAGAAGGAGGUAGAGCUUAACCUCGGAAGGCAUAAAGGUAGCCUUAUGCAAUGUAGAGAAAUGCAGGAUGGAUGCAGUGCUUAGUAUCGGAAAGCAGAAAGUUAGCCUAAUGCAAUGCAGAAAAAUAAAAAGCGAAUAGUAAUACAAUCUAUUAGGUGAUAACUGAUAGUUGAUAGCUGAUUACGAUAUUGAGAUUACUGAGGAUGUUGUGUGCGGAUAGCAGUUGUGAAUGAGUGAUGUUCUGAGAGUUGUAUCUCUGAGAAGUGUGAGUGUAUAAAUAUAUCUGACGAUUUUGCGACUGGUGUGCAUGCAUCCAAAGAAGAUCGUGAGUUUUGUAAAAGGGAAAGGUUAGUCCUUUUUCCCGUGGACUUUGUUCAUCCUGCUUGGCAUUGUAUAUCAUUGGGGUAGCAUCACUAAAUAAAUCAAUUUUUAUAAUAGUUAGGAAAAUGUAAUAUAAAUACAUAAUUGAAAAUAGUUUUCUUUAUGGACCGACAACUACGAAGCAGUUUAAGACAUUGCUACCUCUCCCGUUCCGGAAUUUUGAGGGUCCUCCUCAAAGUUCUACCCUAGUUUACUGGGCUGGUGCUUCUGACGACUGCAUGCGACAAAUGGCUGAAAUCAACUUUGGAAUUUUGAGGGUCCUAUUCAAAAUUCUUCCCCAAUUUCAAUUGACGGGGAAAAUGGAAAUUUUAUUGCCUUGUGACCGAACCCAUAGGGCUGCCUACGUAUCCCCUCUGAAUUGAUCGGCUUUGGCCAAAUUUCUCCGUCCAUUUCUGCAAGUAUGAGAGCUCCUCCGGUUAGAACCCGCUAAACCAUGUACGGACCUUGCCAGUUGAGAGAGAAUUUCCCUUUGGCUUUAUCUUGAUGCGAAAAAAUCUUCUUCAACACUAGUUGUCGCGGUGUAAAGUGACUCAGCUUUACUCUUUUGUUGAAGGCUCUGUCCAUUCUAUUCUGAUACAACUGAACAAGGUAAAAUACAUUCAUUCUCUUCCCAUCUAUAAGAGCUGUCUGCUCGUAGCAACUUUUAACCCAUUCUGCACAUUCAAGUUCCAUUUCUUGUAUAAUCCUCAAUGAGACAAUUUCCACCUCGGCGGGAAUGACUGCCUCUAUACCAUAAACAAACAUAUAGGGAGUUGUGUAGGUUAAUGUGUGAACUUUGGUACGGUAUCCUAAUAAAGCAAAUGAUAACUUCUCAUGCCAUUGCUUUUGCUUUUCAAUCAUUUUCCUUUGUUUCUUCUUAUGUUCUUAUUGGCUGCUUCUACAGCUCCAUUCAUCUUAGGUCUAUAUGCUGUGGAAUUCUUGUGUUCUAUCUUGGAUGUUUCACACUUUACUUUCAUCAGGUCACUGUUGAGAUUGGAACCAUUAUCAGUAGUUAUUGACUCUAGGAUGCCGAACCAGCAAACAAUACGGUACGGACAAAGUCUGCCCCGACUUUCUUAGUUACUACCUUGUAUAAUGCUGCUUCAACCCAUUUGGUGAGAUAAUAAAUUUCCACUAAAAUGAACCAGUGCCCAUUUGAUGCGGAAGGCUCGAUGGGUUCGAUAGCAUCCAUUCCCCAAGCGGCGAACGACCAUGGCGAGCUUGUUGUAGUAAGAUCGAUUGGAGGCACCUUAAUUGUAAUGACCCGACACGUUCUCUCAGGUAUCUCCGCCCUAGUUUCCCGUUUUAUGUUUCUAUAUGUUCCAUUAUAUGUGUUUGGGGAGUUUGAAGUAAUUCGGAUUUAAUUUGCUACGAAAUGAGACAAUUAGUCCUUUUAUGAGAAGGUUAGUUUCGAAAAGUCAACCGAAUGUUGACUUAUGAGUUUGAGGACUCAGAAUGGAUUUUCGACGAUUCGAAUUUGGAGGUUUGAUGUAAAUUUAGGCUUAAAUUGGCUAAGUUAGAAUUUUGGCGAAGUCAAGUUGAUAAGUGAAAUUUUGAUCCUGGGGUCAGAAUGGAAUUCCAAUGGUUGCAGUAGCUCCGUUAAGUGAUUUUGGAUAUGCGUGCAAAUUUUCAGAUUAUUCAGAGGUGUUUAGGUCAAUUUUUGGAUCAAAUGCGUGAUUCGGAAGUUUUAGAAGAACUUAGGCUUGAAUCCGAUGUAAAUCUGCUUUUUGAUGUUAGUUUUUGUGUUAUGAGAGUGAAACUAAGUUUGAAUGAUCAUAUGUGAUGUUUAUUAUGUUUGUAUGCGGUCCCGAGGAGUUCGGUUGAGUUUCGGAUAGGUUUGGGCUGCGUUGUGCUCAUUUUUCUUAUGCUUCGACGUCGUUUCUUCAAGCAUAAAUGGUAUCAUAUUGAACAAAUAAGAUCCGAUUACUGUUUUGAAUCAAGAACUAGAUUCGUAUCGUAAUUACGGACCCGUAGCAAAAAGAAUCAUCGAAUUUGGACAUCGUAUGAGGAUUUUAUGGCCACAGUGUAUUCAUGUGCAUUACAUUGUAUCUUUAUCUGAUACUUGACUGUUAUAUAUGUUAUUGCUUUGUUGUUAGCUACAAAUAAGCUUUGAUUACUGUUUUGAAUGAAGCACUAGAUCCCUAUCGUAAUUAUGGACCCGUAGCAAAAAGAAUCGUCGAAUUUGGACAUCGUAUCAGGAUUUUAUGGUUGUUUACCAAGAUUGCCUAGAUUUUCAAGUUAAUAACGAAAUUGCCCCUGACUGCGUAUUAAAACCUGCACUAUUUGCAAAUAUUAAAACCUACAUAUCUCCUUCAUUAUAAGCUAAUAUUGAGUGAUUCAAAAGCGUAAAUUCAUUAGAAUCUCACAAGGAAUCUAUUGGGAGCAGUAAAACGCGUAAACAGUAUACCUAUAAUGAGAAGAUAGAGUUUACUUCCAAUUUUUGAACGGGACGAAGCUUUCGAGGCGAUUGUUAAGAGAGAAAAUCAGUGGGUAUCUCAGAGGUAAGUUAUUUGAUUAUAAAAACUCGUUUAUAGGUAAUUAUAAACCAUAAUCCCAACCUUUAAUUUAUGAAAAAAAGUAUUAAAAAAAAGGAUUUUGGCGCUUGAGAUUAUGAGACCUUUAGGGGUCGAUUUGAGGGGUCAAACAGAAUCCAAAUUUGGUGUUCUUUAUAUGUACAGAAUCGGGAGAAUAUGAAGAAAACGUUUCUGUAAAAAUUUGUGAGUUUCGAGAAUUGGGUUCGGGGCUCGGGUUUUGUCAAUUAAGGGAUUAUUGAUGCUUUUUGAUUAUUUUCGAUUGGGUAUUGAUCCUAUAGGCUAAUAUGAUGUAUUCUUUGUGGUUUUGGCUAGAUUCGACGCGUGAGGAGGUCGAUUCAAGAGAAAAGGGCAUCGCGCGCUAGUUUAGGGCCGGUUAGAGGUGAGUAGUUUGUAUAGAUGAUAACCUGAGGGUUUGAAACCCCGAUUUAUCACAUCAUGAUGCUAUUAGAGGGCGUGACUCACACCCCAUGGCAGGUGUGAGAUGAUAUAUAAUUGGGUAUUGUGACUUGGUCCAUCCCGAGAGCGUAAUAUAAAUAAUUGGCGGCUAAUACGCAUAUUGUGUAGUCGAUAAUUGGGAUUAAUGCCAUGUUUGGGUCUUGUGCUGAUCUGUAGUACCUUCUAGGGUGAAUAUCUGUGUGAUAACAUGAUCUGCAUAAUCAUUGAUCUCAGUCAUGUGUAUAAUCACUGUAAUGAAAUGCUAAGUCAUUUUUCUGAAAUUAAAUAAUUAAAUUAUAUUCUUCUUAAGAAAUGGAAACUAUAAAAUAAGUUGAAUCUGUUAUGUGACUCAUAUGCAUACUAUGGACUGAGCAUGGAUCGGGAUACACGCUGUAGAAACUAUAUUCAUUGAUAUUGAGGCCAAGAGCUUGUUCUACGUCGAUACCUGGCUGAUAUUGUCCUUGGGCUGAAGGAGCCCCUCCGGAGUCUAUACACACCCCUAGUGAGCGCCUUCGACGUUAAAUGAACGGGCUGCACACCGCAGCGUAUUCAUGUUCAUUGCAUUGCAUAUUUAAAUGAUAAUUGACUGUUAUGUUUUUUAUUGCUUAAUGUUAGUUCCUAGUUAAGGUAUAGGACGGUUAGUUUUAGCUUUGCUUUGUGGCAUUUCGUGGAUUUCUUACUUUCAAACAUUAUAUAUGCUUAUUACUCACUGAGUUGGUAGUACUCACCCCUACUCCCUGCACCCUGUGUGCAGAUUCAGGUACAUCAGAGGCUUAGGUGACACUCGUAGUCUCCAGAUAUUUUUAGAGUCAUUGAGGUAGCUGCUUGAUGUUCACAGGACCUGGCUGCCCUUCAUAUUCCAGUUAAUUAUUAUUAUAUAUAUUUCCAGAUUUUUAUAUUUUCAUUCAGAUAUUAUUAUCCCGUUUUGUUUAGAGGCUCUAGACUCGUGACCCUAGAUCCUUUAGUUGUGUUUGUCGGUUGUUCGUAUUUAUCCAUAUUACUCUGUUAAUAUUUUUGGAUUAUUAUUCUAAAAUUACUACAAUCUUCUUAAAAUGUCAGUUUUUGAGACUUAGCAUUAAAUGGAAAGCAAUUGUUGGUCAGGCUUUCAUAGCUUUAGCAUUGGGCGCCAUCACGAUCAGGUUGGGUCGUGACAAGUUGGUAUUAGAGCCUAGGUUACUAGGCAUCGUGUGUCAUUAUCCAGUUUAGUAGAGUCUCGCGGAUCAGUAUGUAGAGUCCAUAUCUAUCCUCGGGACGCUACAACACCUUUACGAAACAUUCCACUUUCUUGAAAUCUUAUCGUGUGUCUUUGAUUUAGCUUGAAAGAGUAACUAUUAAAAUUCCUUCCUCACGCUUGUGUGCAUGUACGAGCACUUUGUAUUAUAUGUGCUUCGAUGGCUUGCGAUUUCCCGAUCGAGGGGCGAGAUGUAAUCUUCGUGAGAAUGAUGUUGGGCCAGUCAGGAGGACUUGAGGCCGGGCCUUACCUAGGGCCGAGCACUGAGGUGCUGAUCGUAUGAGCAAGUGUUUUGGACGUAUAUGUACGGUAUUGUCGCUAUUAGCCAGAAUGGAAGUUGGGUAUCCAUGUGAUGAGCAUGUUAGUACUCCGAGGUGCGAUUAUAUGACUUGGUAGCGACGAAGAAGUCUGCUAGAUAAUUGACGAACUGUUAAGUGAUUCGUUUCCUAUUGUGGUUCGAUGUGUAGCCUGAAUAUAGGCUCAUGAAGAAUCUUUCUGAGUCUCCUAGUGGGAGUAAAGUAAAUUGCACGAUACGAUAUGUAUUUAAACUCAGGAAGACUAAGUAGCUAUGUAAUAUGUGUGACGGUGGAAGGUAUACAUAAAUGUUAUAUUGAGGCGAAGCAGGUGGGUUAUAUCCUGCGGAGUGAUCUGAAGUGAUGCGAUUCUUAUAUGUGUAUAUUAGAAGAUCUCAUGUGUAAUUGAAAGGUAUUUUCUAUGUGUUAUGAUUUGAAUAGGUGCAACGCAUGUCCAUGUAUUAAUUUUGAUAAUAGAAUACAUAUAGUAUUGAGAUUAAUGUUGUUGAUAUACAUUUGUGAAGCUUUGUCAAGUUGUGGACAUGUUGUUAGGAUGUUUUUGGUGAUUCUUUGGCAGGUGGAUAGGCCUAAUUAAAAAGGAAACUCUGCCAAAAUUUUUGAAAAAUUUGGGACUUAGUAAAAAUUUUGUCGCUAAAAGAGUGGGUUUAACUCUCGUGUGAAUGAAUGCAAGAAUUGCAGAAGAGUAAAAUAUUUCGGAUGAUUCGUGUUUCCACAAGCUUAUGAAAUAGUGACUUUAAUCUCACCAUGUUAUUACAAUAGUAAAAGAGUAUAUAUGUUGUGAUAUGUAUGGUUUCGAGCUAAGUUGGGGAGGUUGCUGUCAAUUAGCUGAUUGUACGAUUAUGUAAUAUGUUAGUUCUGAUUUGAUGCAUGCGGGUGAAUCAGUUCUGGUUGCAGAAAUUGAGCCGAGGGUGGCACGUCUGAAGAAAUAUUUUAACAAAGGUUAUAUGAUGCUUCGUAGAGGUGAGGAAAUAAUAGGAUGUCUUUAGUUGUGGGUAAGGAAUGUUUAGUGUAAAGGGAAGGAAUUUGUUUGGUUGUAUCAGAAUGAGAUCAUGUCCUACGGUGUCAGAGUGCUGAUAAGGCACGAGUGGUUUGAUUCGUUAAGUUAAGUAAUUUUCAUUGGGCAUGAGAGUGGAUGACUCUUGAGAAUGGUUUGAUGUAUGCAAGAUUCUAUAAGUAACACUCAGGCAUUUUAAGGUUGAGUACGUAACCAAGUCAUUUUUUCCGCUAGAACAAGUCGAGACUGGUGGUGUUUGUACGUUAAUUAUGAGAUUCUAUGUAUCAGUAUCAGGGAAGGAAAAGGUAGCAGACUUAAACUCACAUGAAGCGCUUAAAAGUAGGGCAUUUUAGAAGGUGGUAUUUUUUGGAAUGUUUGAGAAAGUAUAUAGUGGCCUAUUGGUCUGAGAUAGUGUGGUCUUACGUUCGGGUCUCGGGUGCUAAGCCUGGUUUGAGGCAUUGUGGUGCGACAGCAAGAGAGUAUAUCAAGUUGAAAAUGAACUAGAAGGAAUCCAGACAAAUGAAGUAGCUUGUUAGUGGAGAUUGGUAUGGUAAAGAUAUGAUCAAUUACUUGUUUAUGUUCGAGGUAAUGAGCACUUACGGGAAUUGGGUGGUAGAGCUUUUGAGUUCCGAAAGCUUGCUUAGACUAGUGUGGAUAGAAGGAUUUAGUCCUGACAGUUUAGUUGUGGUUAGGAAAAAGGAGAUGGAGUUCUCAGAUUAUCCUAGUAUGGUAUGGUAUGCGCGGUCUGUUGUGGAGGAUUGGGAUUUGUGUGUGUAAGGUACGGUUUAGUUCCGAAUGGAAUGUCAUUAAAUUCGUAAGCAACUCGGGCAGCUGCAUGUGAUUUAAGAAGCGACCCUCAGAUUAUUAAGGAAAAUGGUAUUACUAUUCUAGUAAUUUGAUGGGAGUAUACGUUCAUUAAGAGGAGAAAGUGAUGUAAGCUGAUAACAACUCGGUGGGAUUGCGACAAUUUCCUAUUGGACCGACUAUUGGCCCCUGAGUCUGUUGAUGUCACAGGGAAAUUAUAGAAUAUCGUUCAUGGAAUGAAUGGGUACUUGAUGUGUAAUAUGUAUUCCUACGGCGGAAUGUGGGACCAGGUAUAGUGAUCUGUGUGUUAAUAUGGAGGGGGGACUCGGAGUUCUCCGACACCAUCUAUGUUGUGGUUCUGGAUCUUUAUCUGUUGAUACGAUAGAUUUUUGAUGUGAGAUUGGGUGUAAACUGGUUGCCUCAGUGUUGGGUUAAUCUAGACUAUUGUGUUAUGGCUAUGCCAAAAAAUGCCAUAAAUUGUGUGGCGAGGUGUAUCAGAUUAUGCUAUAGCAAAAGUUGUUUGUACUCCAAAGAUCAGUGGACGGCUGGGAAGAAUUGCUCUACUUAAUUCGGCCUUUGUGAUGGAUGUCAGUGUAGAGGGUUCUACCAUUGAUUCGGUUCCGAUAUUGAAGCACUUUUCGAACGCGAUCCUUGUGGUCGGGCAUAUCGCCGGGCGAGAUUGUGAAUUUCAGUAUUUAUUUAAUGUCGAGCACUAAAUCGUACGGCGAUGGCAAGAGUAAUAGUAGUGGAAGCCGCAGCUUCAGGCUUCUUGGUAAUGAGUUUGUUGGUAAGCUGAUUGAAUAUGUGCUUAGCUUGAGUUGGCUUGGUUAGUCCCAAAUUGUAUUGAUGAAGGUUAGGUUGGUUCGAUUGUUAUUGAACCUGCUAGUGAUCUGGGGGGAUCUAUGAGUUGCUUUUCUGCGCUGAGAGGCGUUAUGAUUUUUGGACGAUGGCACAUAUAUUGUGGUGCUAUUGAGAUUCAUAGUGGAAGCCGAGUUCUAUAGCUUACAACGCUAUAAGUAGAGAAUUGUAUUGAUGAAGGUUUGGUUGAUUCGAUCAUUAUUGAACCUGCUAGUGAUCUGGGGGGAUCUGUGAGUUGCUUUUCUGCGCUGAAAGGCGUUUUGAUUUUCGAAUGGUGCCACAUAUAUUGCGGUGCUAUCAGGAUUCAUAGUGGAAGUCGAGUUCUGUAGCUUACAAAGCUAUAAGUAGAUAUCAUUAUGCACACAGUGUGCUUACGACCGAUACUCGGUAUUUGGUUAUAAUAAGAAAAUUUAGCUCAAUGUGCAUCUCCUUAUGUGAGAUAGUUGCGUGUAUCAGGUGGCAAGUUGCCACGGGGAUCUUAUCUGGAUCGGGUUGCGCGCCGCAAUAGUGUGAUGUUGAGAAUAGUUUUCCAUAUGUUUGUUCAUAUGCAUUAUUUCCUGGUUUUUUAGGAAAGUCUGUAUUGGGCGUUUCUCGGCGAAUAAGGCAUCGAUUGGGUUCUUUCAUGAUUGAAUGGUGUAUAUAACAUGCUUCACCGUGGCUGUGAUGGAUUGCUUGGGUUCAGACAUCAAUAUGUGCGUGUUUGUCAAGUUCGAGUAUAGCGACUCGAGGUGUUUCAUCUGAAAUGGUGUUUGAUGAGAUCACGCAUUAUACCGAGGCUACGUGGAGUUAUGACCUUCGAUGCAGAUUCAGGUACUCUAUUUCUAUGAGGUGAGAUGGGGUAUCAACUUCGUGUUGUAAUGGUAUUGAGGAGCUUAGGGUACAACUAUUUCAUUUGAAUCAAUUGCCAUGAUGCGAGUAUGUUAGGGUCGUCUCUUAUUGGUGCGUAUACAAUGCAAGUUGUGGAUUAGGCAUGUGUUGAGAUGUAUUAUCACCAGAUUGGUAUGUUGGAUUCGAGGGGAUUGUUGGAGUCAUAAAUGGAUACGAACGGAUUUGGUUUCAGCUUGUCGGAUGGUUAAUAUCGAGUUUCAGCUUGGAGAUUUGUUAUGGUAUUAGUCAAAAGGGAAAAAAUGUCUUGGUGAAUGGUUGAUCUGAGAAAUGGUUACGGACUACUAUGUGUCCAUUAUCAUUGAUAGAGUAUAGCAGUGUUGGAAUAAGACUCCAGCUAACAAGAGAUUCCUAUUGAUAAUUGAGUAUUUUGGGUAACUGUUGUGAGUAGGGACCAUCGUUUCGAGUGUUGGAUUGCAUGGUUUGUUGCAUGGGUUCACCUGAGGUUGAAGAUAUGGGUUAUUACAGCUGGUUCAGGCUUAUUCUGAGUAUAAAUGUAAGGUUCUGAUCAUGUGCAUGGUUUCAGAAGUGCAAUGUGGUCCUACGGUUAUGGUCUGGAUAGACUGUGAAAUUUAAGCUAUGUUGUAUUAUCGGGCCUAUGUGAGUUAGGGCGACAUCACUCCGAGUAUAUGGUUGGUAUGGUCAUUCAGGUAUUGGUUGGCCCCUAGUACAACUCUGAGCACGCUCAAGGACAAGCGUUUGUUUAAGUUGGGGAGGAUUUAACGACCCAACCCGUCGUCUCAGGUAUCUCCGCCCCGUUCUUCCCGUUUUAUGUUUUUAUAUGUUCCAUUAUAUGAGUUUGGGGAGUUUGAAGUAAUUUGGAUAGAGUUUGGUCAGAAAUGAGAAAAUUAGUCCCUUUAUGAGAAGGUUGGUUUAGAAAAGUCAACCGAAUGUUGACUUACGAGUUAGAGGACUUGAAAUGGAUUUCAAAAAAUUCGACUAGUUCCGGGUGGUGAUUUAUGACUUAGGAGCGCAAUCGGAACUGAAUUUGGAGGUUUGAUGUAUAUUUAGGCUUGAAUUGGCUAAGUUAGAAUAUUGGCGAAGUCAGGUUGAUAGGUGAAAUUUUGAUCCGAGGUUCGGAAUGGAAUUAUGACUGUUGCGGUAGCUCCUCUCGGUGAUUUUGUAUAUGCCUACCAAUUUUCAGAUCAUUCGGAGGUGUUUAGGUCGGGUUUUGGAUCAAAUGUGUGUUCGAAAGUUUUAGAAGAACUUAGGCUUGAAUCCGAUGUAAAUUUGGUGUUUGCUGUUAGUUUUGGUCUUCUGAGAGUGCAACUAAGUUUGAAUGAUCAUAUGUGAUGUAUUAGUAUGUUCUUAUGCGGUCCCGAGGAGUUCGAGUGAGUUUCGGAUAGGUUUGGGCUGCGUUGUGCUCGUUUUUCUUAUGCUUCGACGUCUUUUCUUCAAGCAUAAAUGAUAUCAUAUUGAACAAAUAAUCUCCGAUUACUGUUUUGGAUGAAGCACUAUAUCCGUAUCGUAAUUAUUAACCCGUAGCAAAAAGAAUCGUCGAAUUUGGACGUCGUAUGAGGAUUUUAUAGCCGUUUUACCAAGGUUGCCCAGAUUUUCAAGCUAAUGACCAAAUUACCCCUGACGGCGUAUUAAAAACCUGCACUAUUUGCAAAUUUUAAAACUUACAUAUCUCCUUUAUUAUAAGGUCAAAUUGAGUUAUUCAAAAGCCUAAAUUCAUUAGAAUUUCAUGGGGAAUCUAUUGGGAGCAGCAAAACACGUGAACAGUAUACCUAUAAUGAUCAGGUCGAGUUUUCUUCCAUUUUUGAACGGGAAGAAGCUUCCGAGAUGAUUUUUAAGAGAAAAAAUCAGUGGGUAUCGCAGAGGUAAGUUAUUUGAUUAUUAAAACUCAUUUAUAGGUGAUUAUAAACCAUAAUUCCAGCCUUUAACUUAUGAAAAAUAGUAGAAAAAUAGGAUAUUUGGGCCUAAGAUUAUGAGACUUUUAGGGGUCGAUUUGAGGGGUCAAAUGGACUCCUAUUUUGGUGUUUUCUAUAUGUACGAAAUUGAGAGAAGAUGAAGGACACUUUUCCACAAAAAAAAUUGAGUUUCGAUAAUUGGGCUCGGAGCUCGAGUUUUGUCAAUUUCGGGAUUAUUGAUGUUUUUCGAUUAUUUUCGAUUAGGUAUUGAUCCUAUAGCGUAAUGUGAUGUAUUUAUUGUGUUUUUGCCUAGAUUCGAUGGGCGAGGAGGUCUACUCAUGAGGAAAGGGCAUCUCGGGCUAGUCUACGGCUUGUUAGAGGUGAGUAGUUUGUAUAGAAAUAGGCAUGAGGGUUUGAAAGCCCGGUUUAUCACAUCGUGACGCUAAGAGAGGGCGUGACUCGCACCCCAUGGCAUGUGCUGGAUGGUAUAUGAUUGAUGAUUGUGACUUGGUCCAUCCCAAGAGUGGAAUAAAAAUUAUUGACAAUUGAUACGCAUAUUGUGUUGUUGAUAAAUGGGCUUAAUGCCAUGUUUGGGGCCUUGUGCCUAUCUGUGUACCCGUCUAGGGUGAAUAUCUGUAUGAUAACAUAAUUUGCAUAAUCAUUGAUCUCAGUCCUGUGUUUAAUUGUUGUAAUGAAAUUCUAAGUCACUUUUCCCGAAAUUAAAUAAUUAAAUUAUAUUCUUCCUAAGAAUUUGAAAUUGGAAAAUAAGUUGAAUAUAUUGUGUUACUCCUAUGCAUACUGUGGAUUGAGCAUGGAUCGGGCUACACGUUGUAGCGAUUAUAUACAUUGAUAUUGAGGCAGAGAGCCUGUUCUACACCAAUAUCUGGCCGAAAUUGCACUUGGGGUGAAGGAGCCCCUCUGGAAUCUGUACACACCCCCAGUGAGCGCCGAUGACGUUAAAUGGAUCGGGCUGCACGCCGCAGCGUAUUCAUGUGCAUUGCGUUGCAUCUUUAUCUAAUACUUGACUGUUAUGUUUGUUGUUGUUUGCUGGUAGUUCAUAGUUAAAGUGUAGGACGGUUAGUUUUAACUUUACUUUGUGGCAUUUCUUGGAUUUCUUACUUUCAGACAUUAUAUACGCUUAUUACUCACUGAGUCGGUAGUACUCACCCCUACUCCCCGCACCUUGUGUGCAGAUUCAGGUACACCGGAGGCUUAGCUGAUUCUCGUAGUCCCCAGAGAUAUUUCCAGAGUCGUUGAGGUAGCUGCAUGACGUUCGCAGGACCUGGCUACUCUUCAUUAUUUUCUCAGUUUAUUAUUAUUAUAAUUAGCUAACACUCGUAGUCUCUAGAUAUUUUUAGAGUAGUUGAGGUAGCUGCUUGACGUUCGCAGGGCCUGGCUUCUCUUCAUAUUCCAGUUCAUUAUUAUUAUUAUAUACAUUUCAAGAUUUAUAUUUUUUUAUUCAGAUAUUAUUAUCCAGUUUUGUUUAGAGGCUCUAGACUCGUGAUCCCAGAUCCCCUGGUUGUGUUUGUCGGUUGUUCGUAUUUAUCCAUAUUACUCUGUUAAUAUUUUUUGGAUUAUUAUUCUAAAAUUACUACAAUAUUCUUAUGUUGUCGGUUUUUGAAACUUAGUGUUAAAUGGAAAGCAAUUGUUGGUCAGGCUUGCCUAGCUUUAGUGUUGGGCGCCAUCACGACCGGGUUGGGUCGUAACAUUAAGCAUGUCUGCAUGUAUCUAAUAGCGAUGGACUUUAAUAUAUACUGGAUACAAUCCUUUUCCAUUGUCAUACAAAAAUAACCAGCUUGAAGUAUUUUCUUGGCUAAGACAAAGUCGUUCAUAUGUGGACUGCAGGUCCCAGCGUGGAUUCCUUAUAGCAACCUAGAUGCUUCCUUUACCUCGACACACCUUAGUAAUCCCAAUUCUGGAGUCCUCCUAUAUAAGAUUCCACCACUGUGAAAGAAGUGAUUGGAUAACCUUUGAAGUGUGUGCUUCUAAGUAGCGUUUGAAAGUUCUGGAUAUUCUCCGGUUGUCAAAUAUUCCUUGAUGUCAUGGAACCAUGGUUUUUCGUCUACUUCUUCUUCGACAUGGGAACAAUUUGGCUGGUUGGUCAUGAAUGUUUAAUCGGAAUAGGAUCUAUGAAGUUCUUAUCUGGAUGUUGGACAAUAGAUGAAUAGGGUUGCUUAUCGGGCGGAUUGGGCGGCAUUUUAAUCUUAAUGGUUUGCCUUAACGGUUAUCAGAUUUUAAAUGUAUUAAUCUAUUAGCCACCUGAUAAGAUAUCGAGCGUAUUGGUAUCAGUUUAGCUCUAAUCGGGCUGUUAUCUGGCGGUUUAACGGCACAACAUACAUAUUCACUAUCUACCAUUCUCCUCGUCUUAGAAAUAAUAAAUUCCCAUAUAAAUAUAACAUUUCAGAGGCAAUAUUAUGCAUUCAAUUUGCUUUGCCAGAGUCACUUAAGUUCGGCUUAGCCAAAUUUUGCUAUAAGCCCCACUACUUACUGCAAUAUCAAACUUCAGUUAUGUUCACUGCUCAGUGAUUGGUGAACGACUUAAGCCGGGAAAUAGUUCAUCCUGUUAAAUAACUGCAUGAAUGAAUAAACAAGUCCACAAUAUAAAGUAUUAAUAGUAAACAGUGUUGGAUAAAACUGAGAAAACACAAUAGACACAGCCUUUUGUUUUUGUUAAUCAUUUUCAAAGGUUUUAGUUUAAUUAUAUUUAAAAGAUAUAAAUAAAAAUAAAAAUAAUAUAUAUNNNNNNNNNNNNNNNNNNNNNNNNNNNNNNNNNNNNNNNNNNNNNNNNNNNNNNNNNNNNNNNNNNNNNNNNNNNNNNNNNNNNNNNNNNNNNNNNNNNNNNNNNNNNNNNNNNNNNNNNNNNNNNNNNNNNNNNNNNNNNNNNNNNNNNNNNNNNNNNNNNNNNNNNNNNNNNNNNNNNNNNNNNNNNNNNNNNNNNNNNNNNNNNNNNNNNNNNNNNNNNNNNNNNNNNNNNNNNNNNNNNNNNNNNNNNNNNNNNNNNNNNNNNNNNNNNNNNNNNNNNNNNNNNNNNNNNNNNNNNNNNNNNNNNNNNNNNNNNNNNNNNNNNNUAUAUAUAUAUAUAUAUAGUUCUACUAUUAACGGGUUAACAGAUUAUCCGUUAAGAAAAUUGAAUAAUCAACCACCAAACUAAUAAGUUGUUAAUAAAAACAUUCAAUCAGUUCCCCGUCUGUUAAGCCAUUAAAGCAUUACCAUUAAGCCAUUAAGCUUCAGUUUGGAUCGGAUUUUGUUUUCGGAUCGAUUUUCAACACUCCUAUAGAUGAUAGGGUAGAUAAUGCAUCGGCAAACUCAUUCUGGACUCUGGGACGUGCUGAAACUCUGUCUUUGUGAGUCUCUUCCUCAACUCCUGUACAUGAUGCCGAUAAGGGAGUAUCUUGGAAUUCUUGAUUGCCCAUUCUUCUCGGACCUGAUGUAUAAGCAGGUCUGAAUCUCCGAUCACUAGCAAUUCCCGAAUGUUCAUGUCAAUGGCCAGCUUGAUCCCUAAGAUGCAGGCUUCGUAUUCGGCCUUGUUGUUGGUGUAUGGGAAUCUGAGCUUCACAGACACUGGAUAAUGCUGGUCAGUUUCUGAUACCAGGACUGCUCAUAUGCCAACUCCUUUGAAAUUUGUUGCUCCAUCGAAAAAAAUUCUCCAACCAUCAUAUGAUUCUGCAAUAUUUUCUGCUGUGAAGGAUACCUCCUCAAAAUAAGUCUUUAGAGGCUUGUAUUCUCCAUCCAUGGGAUUUUCAGAAAGAUGAUCUGCCAGUGCUUGUCCUUUGAUUGCCUUCUAUGUCAUGUAAACAAUGUCGAAUUCACUCGGGAGGAUUUCCCACUUGGCUAGGUUGCCAGUGGGCAUGCGAUUUUGAAAGAUUUACUUAAACGGAUCCAUUCUCGAUACGAGAUAAGUAGUAUAGGCGCAGAAAUAAUGCCUCAACUUCUGCGCUAUCCAAGUCAAAACACAAUAGGUGUGGUCCACAAGGGAACACCGGGACUCGUAUAGGGUGAACUUCUAGCUGAGAUAGGAGAUGGCCCGCUCUUUUCUCCAUGUUUCAUCAUGUUGUCCCAGAACACAACCAAAUGCUCCAUCCAAUACUACAAAGUAGAGUAGUAGACGUCUACCUGGUCCGGGCGGAACCAAAAUUGGCGGCGUUGACAAGUAUCCCUGGAUUCUGUCGAAGGAUUUCUGAAAAUAAUCAGUCCAUUAGGUAGUGGUGUCCUUUUUAACAUCUUAAAGAUCGGCUCACAAAUGACAAUGGAUUGAGCUAUGAACCGGCUGAUGUAGUUAAGUCUCCCCAAGAAACCCAUAACCUCCUUCUUGUUUUCUGGCGGUGGCAAUUCUUGAAUGGACUUAAUCUUUUACGGAUCCAGUUCUAUUCCUCGGUGACUUAUGAUGAAUCCAAGUAGAUUUCUAGCAGGAACCCUAAAUGACACUUGGCGGGAUUAGGCUUCAGAUGGUACCUUCUCAGUCUGUUGAAGAACUUUCUCAAAUAUUUCAUGUGGUCAGUGGCUCUCUUGGAUUUAAUGAUGACUUUGUCCACAUACACAUUGAUCUCUUUGUGUAUCAUGUCAUGAAAAAUAGUAGUCAUGGCUCUCAUGUAGGUGGCCCCAGCAUUCUUUAACUCAAACGACAUCAUCUUGUAAUAAUACAUCCUCCACGGUGUGAUGAAAGCCAUUUUCUCCGCGUCUUCCUCAUUCAUCCAUAUCUGAUGAUGCCUGGCAAAACAAUCAAUGAACGACUGUAGUUCAUGUUUGUGCAGUUUUCAAUUAGAAUGUGUAUGUUUGGCAAGGGGAAGUCGUCUUUCAGACUGGUCAAAUUGGGAUCCUGAUUGUCAACACAGACUAUAAACUUCCCGUCCUUCUUCCAUACUAGCACAAUAUUGGCUAACCAUGUUAGAUACUCUACUACUCUCAGAACCUUGCCUUUGACUUGCUUAGUGAAUUCUUGUUUGAUUUUCAAACUCAUGUCUGGUUUGAACUUCCUGAGCUUUUGCUUUAUUGGGGGACAUGUCGGAUUGAUGGGAAGUUAAUGAGCUACAAUAGAUGUACUAAGGCCAGUCAUGUCAUCAUACGACCAGGUGAAUAUGUCCUCAUUGUCACACCUCCUUUUUGACACACCUACCCAGAAGGAAAAUGUAUAUAGGAGUUUUUCCAUUUUAAGUGAUAUUAUUCUAAAUGAGAUUAUUUAUUUAUGCAGAGUCGUCACUUGGGAUAUGUUUUGGUUUUUGGUAUCCCAAGCAACAUGUUUAUCUUGAAUCCUAAUUCAAGGAAAAUAUUCGACUUUCCAAGUGAAGUCUGCAAACCAGAAAUUCAGACUAAGGAAUUUUGUUGACCUGAGGUAAGGUGUUAGGAACCACCGGAUCCCAUGGUUCUAGCAGGGUCGCUUAAACUAUUACAAAUAGCUAAAUAUCUGAUUUUAAAACAUGUUUCAAUUUAUAAUGCAAUUUUAAAUUACUUACCGCUUUAAAUUAUUUUUUAAGGAAUUUGCAACAUUAUUAAAAUAUGUCUUGAACCGCGUCACAUAAAUGCACCCGUGGCUUUUGACAUAUUUUAACGUCGUUGAGAUUUGGAUUUGGGUCAGAUAAAUGUGCACUUGAGCUUAAGGAGGUAAUAUUAAUGACGAGCCUAAAGCAACUAGCUUGUUGAUAUCAUCGCGGGAAGCCAUUGAAAUUUGUUAAAUGGCAUACCCAAUUUCUAAAUAUUUUUAUAGAAUUAACUAAAGAGGGCCAAACAAUUUCAAAUUUUAUUUGACGCGGUGCACCUUAUUAUUUUAGAGGCCAUCCUAAAAGGAUCUAUUAUUCUCUAUUAAAGAUUGUCUCUAAAGGUCUAAUUAGUUAACAUUAUUAGUAAGCUACUAUUAAAAGCAUUUAUGAAAUUUGGGCCUCAAGGUCAAGUCCAAAUUUAAACAAGAGGGAAACCUCCUAAAUCAAACUUGCUACAUAAACUGGGAGGCCCAAAAUUACGUUGCAAGAUUAAACUGAUGAUUUCAAAUAGAAAUUAAGGCUUCUAGAAUUUUGGGCUUUAAAACUAGUCCAUGAGUGAGCGAAAAUGCCUUCAGCUUUAUAAAAGUUGUCCAAAUGGCUUGGCUUGAGUACAUACCCAAUUUGAAGAGGUUUGUCCUUAACAGACUGGCGAGUGCACUGUUCCAAGGCUAAAAUACUUGGACUCCUCAUCAAAUAACUGGGCCUAACAUUAGGCCUAGUUUUCAUGGCCCAAAAAAAAUAGCAGCAACAGAAACAGAAAUAUACACAUGACUGUGAGAUCCAAACUUGAUUAUCUAAUUCUAUGCUGACGUCAAUUAACAUUAAUCUACUCCAUAGACUAGAUUUUUUUAAAUCUCACUCGGUGAUUAGCGGAUAAACAAGUAAUGAUAUACACAUGAAUGAAUUGUAUUUAUUUUCACAGAUGCCAAAUUUUAAUCAAUUUUCCUAAAAGCUAAAGUAUAGGAAUUAAUGUAUUAAUACACCAGAUUAUUUUCAGUAUCCCUUAAACUAAUAGAAACAUGCUAACAACAACAACAACUACCUAGUAUAGUCCCACAAAGUGGGGUCUGGGGAAGGUAAUAUGUAGACGGGCCUUACCCCUACCCGAAAGGGCAGAGAGGUUGUUUCCAAUCGACCCUCGGCGCAGUGAAGGAAAGGAAAAAAAAACAAAAACAAAGAGCAUUAGUAACUCCAGUAAAAAUAACGUAAAUAAUUAUCUGAACAUAAGAACCAUAAUUAAAAUAGCAUGCAAUAAUAUCAUACAGUAACUACCAUAAGGGAGAAACAAUCCAACAUACAGAUCAUCUAUGGAUAGCGCUGCCAAGCCUCACCCAACCCUGGGUGAGGAGUACGAAAAACUCUAGGGGCCCCUAUCCUACAACCCUGAUACUAGACCUCCAGACUUUCCUAUCAAGGGCCAUGUCCUCGGAAAGCCGCAUUCCCUCUUGGCGAUGACCUGAGAUCCAAUCUUCACGUCCCUCCCUACAUCCCUCGGCUCGACGCUAAACAUGCAUUCCAGGUAUUCUGUCUUAGAUCUGAUUAUUUUGAAACCCUUAGACUCGAGAGUGUGUCUCCAUACCUCUAAGCUCUCAAUAACACCGACCCUCGUCUCGUCAGCAAAUAGCAUAUACCAAGGCACAUCCUCUUGAAUAUGUCAGGUUAUAGCAUACAUCACCAAGGCAAACAAGAGAGGGCUAAGCGUCGAUCCUUGAUGGAGCCCCAUAACCACUGGAAAAUAGUCUGAAUCGCCACCCAUCUCCUAACCCUAGUCUUAGCUCCAUCGUACAUGUCCUUGAUUACUCUGUGUAGGCUUCCGGCACGCUCUUCGCCUCCAAGCACCUCCAUAGCACCUCCCUUGGGACUUUAUCAUACGCCUUCUCCAAGUCGAUAAGCACCACGUGCAGGUCCUUCUUCUUAUCCCUGAACUGCUCCACCAGCNNNNNNNNNNNNNNNNNNNNNNNNNNNNNNNNNNNNNNNNNNNNNNNNNNNNNNNNNNNNNNNNNNNNNNNNNNNNNNNNNNNNNNNNNNNNNNNNNNNNNNNNNNNNNNNNNNNNNNNNNNNNNNNNNNNNNNNNNNNNNNNNNNNNNNNNNNNNNNNNNNNNNNNNNNNNNNNNNNNNNNNNNNNNNNNNNNNNNNNNNNNNNNNNNNNNNNNNNNNNNNNNNNNNNNNNNNNNNNNNNNNNNNNNNNNNNNNNNNNNNNNNNNNNNNNNNNNNNNNNNNNNNNNNNNAGCAUGAAACCGAACUGGUUCACAGAUAUAAAUGUCAUCUCCCUCACCCUCGCCUCGAUCACCCGCUCCCAAACCUUCAUGGUGAGACUUAUUAAUUUGAUACCCCUAUUGUUGUUUCAGCACUGGAUGUCCCCUUUGUUCUUGUACAGGGCACCACUGUACUCCAUCUCCACUCCUCCGACAUCCUUUUGGUCGUAAAGAUCGCAUUGAACAACCUGGAGCUAACACAAGUCAACUAUUCAAUUCGUACAAAUGAGAUUUGAAAAUCUAGCAAGGAGAGUUUAGAGUAAAAAUUCGUACACAGAAUACAGUGGUAGGCACUGAUGAAGCCCAAACAAUUUCUACAUUCGAAUUAGCACUAGCUUAUAGAACCUAUCUAAAUUACUAAUGUGAAACAAAUACAUAGAAUAUUGUUACAGUUCAUAGUCCGCAUUUAAUACAAUAAUGUUUUAGCUAAUUCAUAAAAUUGCUGGAAACAUAACAAAUCUAUAGAUCAUUCAAAGGGAGAAUCAACAGAAUAAUCAGUGCAGCAUUUUCAUUUCAUUUCCAACUGGAGAGUUACAUUAGGACAAGCUCAGGAUGUGUACCUGGAAUGGAGGCAGAAUAAGAAGAAGAAGGCAGAGUCAGCAGCAGUUACCAGCAACCAGCAGCAACUUUGGACCAAUUUUGAAAAUAGUAAUGACAGUUCACAGCCCAAGAAAUAUAGUAACACAAAUAGCACCAGUAAACAGCCCAAAACAACUUGAAUGAACCAAAAAAAACUCAAAAAUGUCCCCAGGAACUUCCGAAUCUCAUCUACUGAAUUUUUAGACCAAUCAGUGCUUGAAAAUCUAAAAUAUGUACUCCAAUAGCUCGAAAACUCUCAUAUUCAAUAGAGCUUCUAUUGAUUUUCAGUGUUAGCUCUCAUCUUUCAAGGUUUGAGAUAUUUUUUGGUUUUUGGUUUUUUUGGAUUUUUUGGUUUUCUAUUUGGGAUCUCAGAUCUAUCACUGCUUCUCUAAGUUUUUGAGUUUUGAAUUUCAAAUUUUAUGAUCUCUAGACUUGCCUUGCAAGGUAAAGGAUUGCCCUUUAGUAAGCAAAGCUAAGGUACAUGCAGAUUUUUCCUUUACACCCCUACGUCUCUCUUUUAUUUCAAUUUUUUAACUAUUUAUUCCCUAUGAUUUUGGCUUGUUUUCCAAGUUAUAUUACUAAACUUCUAAAUUUCAAAUUACAACCCCAUCUAGAAGCUUCUAGGUAAUUCUAUAUUCAGUUACUGCAAGAUUUUCUACUCUAAAAUACCUCAAAUACCCUUGAAUUCACCUUGGUUAACUAAACCCCAGCCCUCUUCGACUUGGUCAAUAUUGACCAUGGUUAAACAAUUCAAUGCUAGAGAAUUCAGCUAUUUCCAAACAUUUCCUAGAAGUUGAACUAAUCAAUUGAUCAAACUAACAAUAACCAGACCCAGAAAUUAAUUCUAAACAAUACUACACCCUAAGACUAAUUUUAUCACUGAAUUACUGAAAAAAUAACUGAACCAUUCAACCAGUUCAAAGAUGAAGCGAUAUUCUAAAAGUAGAAAAUAUGAUUAAAGUCUAAGGAACAUCAACAAACAAGGAAUUAAUCAGGAACCUAAAUUAAAACUAUAACUCUAAAAAGAAAACUAAAAGAAAUUCAGUGACGAACAUGGACGUAUAAUUGGAACAAACACAAAAUCAAAUAAAAACUAAACCUAUGACUGCUAUAUACGAAAAUCAGAGUCCCAAAACUAAGAACCCUAAAUCAAACAAAAUAAAAGAAAAACCGAAAAUUAAAGACAUAUUUACUUAUGCAAAGAGAAAGAAAACAAAGAAAGAAAGAGAAGAUUGAGAAACUUACUGUUUAGGCUAUAGCUUGGACUGACCCCGAAUUGAGUCCCCAAAUAAUGUUACAUGCUUGUUCUUUCCAAAAACAAGCACAUAACCUUAUAUUGGAAACACACUCGAACACUGGCAAACCUUGAAAAUUCGAGGCGUAUUGAAUAAAGCCCUAAAUCUUAAAUUCGAAGGGUUCAAACUGGAUUUGAAGGAUUUUGGUUUGGGAUUUAGGAAGAGGAGGUCGAGGAGAUCAUGGGGUGUGAUUUUGGUUGGGUUUGGAGGAUUUUGGGGUUUGACCACUUUUUUUUAUUUAAGGUUCGAAUGAUUUUGGUAGGAUUUGAGGGAAACAGAGUGUAGACACAGAAAGAGGAGAAGGAGGAGCACCUAGGGUGUAAAUUUGGGGUUAUUUGGAGACUGGCCGGCUGUGAAGGGCGGGGACGUUACAAUUUUUUAUGAGAGAUGAGAGAGGAGGGGUAGGGGGUCUCGGGGGGGUGGUAACGUUAGGAAAUUUACAUAUUAAUUGAUGUGGGCUUCUCAACCGUUGGAUCAUAAAACCUAGACGGUUGAGAUUGAUCCAAGCUAAAAUGACGUCGUUUUGAUAUUAUAGGGGCUGGACCGGGUAUGGCAUUUUGGGGUGGGUUAAAACGGGUUUUAUUCAGGGGUUUUUUUGGGCUGGGAUUAGAAUUAGCCCAAAUUUGGGGUCUUUCAAUAAGACAACACCUGAUUCUUUUAAUUUUCUCAUUUUUCUUUAUUUGUUUUUCUUUUUCUUUUCCAUUUUUUUUCAAUCUUAAAACUAAAAUUAAACCUCUCAACUAAUUCAAACUAUCUAAUUAAACUAAAAUUAGUAUAAUACCAAUUUAAAAGAAAUUAACAAACCUAGGGCUAAAAUAAAAAUCAAACAAAACAAAUCAAGGUUUCUUUAUGAUUUUUGCUUGUAUUUGUAAAAGCCUAAUCACUAAUUGGUUUUAAAAUGUAUAAAUUAAAUUCUAAAUGCUCAUGCAAUUUUUAUAUGACUUAUCAUCCAUAUGUAAUUAAAUCUCAAAACUAAAAUAAUAAAAUAACUAUCUUAAUUCUAAGAAUUCUAUAGGAGUAAUUUAAACGAGGAAAAAAUCAC
RNAcentral lists this long non-coding RNA (26708 nucleotides) under Nicotiana benthamiana. Its description in RNAcentral is "long non-coding RNA (NBEN_LNC012423)". Lineage: Eukaryota; Viridiplantae; Streptophyta; Magnoliopsida; Solanales; Solanaceae. The record is from RNAcentral.